AUGGCGACAGGUGUCCACUCCCAGGUGCAGCUGGUGCAGUCUGGGGCUGAGGUGAGGAAGCCUGGGGCCUCCGUGAAGGUCUCCUGCAAAGCUUCUAGAUACACCUUCACCAGCUCCUCUAUGCACUGGGUGCAACAGGUCCCAGGACAGGGUCUUGAGUGGGUGGGGUGGGUUUACGCUAACAAUGGAAACACAAAAUACGCACAGAAGUUCCAAGGCAGAGACUUCAUGACCAGAAACACGUCCAUGAACACAGCCUACAUGGAGCUCAGCAGCCUGAGAGCCUAG
Molecule: non-coding RNA, 288 nt
Organism: Eptesicus fuscus (big brown bat)
Lineage: Eukaryota; Metazoa; Chordata; Mammalia; Chiroptera; Vespertilionidae
Source: the annotation of a RefSeq genome assembly